RNAcentral lists this ribosomal RNA (434 nucleotides) under TM7 phylum sp. oral taxon 346. RNAcentral describes it as "bacterial SSU rRNA". It matches the Rfam family "Bacterial small subunit ribosomal RNA", at positions 28 to 493 of the family's 1533-position model. The record is from RNAcentral. Lineage: Bacteria; Candidatus Saccharimonadota.
GAUGAACGCUGGCGGCGUGCCUAACACAUGCAAGUCGAGCGGCAGCGCGAGUAGUUUACUACUUGGCGGCGAGCGGCGGACGGCUGAGUAACGCGUGGGAAUUUGCCCCAAAGUGAGGAAUAACUGCCCGAAAGGGUGGCUAAUGCCGCAUAUGAUCUUCGGAUUAAAGGAUUUAUCCGCUUUGGGAGAAGCCCGCGUCGGAUUAGGUAGUUGGUGAGGUAAUGGCUCACCAAGCCGACGAUCCGUAGCUGGUCUGAGAGGAUGACCAGCCAGACUGGAACUGAGACACGGUCCAGACUCCUACGGGAGGCAGCAGUGAGGAAUCUUCCACAAUGGGCGAAAGCCUGAUGGAGCAACCGUUCGGAUUAAAGGCCUUUCGGGUUGUAAACUGCUUUUAUAAGUGAGGAAUAUGACGGUAGCUUAUGAAUAAGGAU